RNAcentral lists this ribosomal RNA (468 nucleotides) under uncultured bacterium. RNAcentral's name for it is "partial 16S ribosomal RNA". It matches the Rfam family "Bacterial small subunit ribosomal RNA", at positions 28 to 507 of the family's 1533-position model. The record is from RNAcentral.
GACGAACGCUGGCGGCGUGCUUAACACAUGCAAGUCGAACGGAAAGGCCCUGCUUUUGUGGGGUGCUCGAGUGGCGAACGGGUGAGUAACACGUGGGUGAUCUGCCCUGCACUUCGGGAUAAGCCUGGGAAACUGGGUCUAAUACCGGAUAGGACCACUUCUUGGAUGUUGUGGUGGAAAGUUUUUUCGGUGUGGGAUGAGCUCGCGGCCUAUCAGCUUGUUGGUGGGGUAAUGGUCUACCAAGGCGUCGACGGGUAGCCGGCCUGAGAGGGUGUACGGCCACAUUGGGACUGAGAUACGGCCCAGACUCCUACGGGAGGCAGCAGUGGGGAAUAUUGCACAAUGGGCGCAAGCCUGAUGCAGCGACGCCGCGUGGGGGAUGACGGCCUUCGGGUUGUAAACUCCUUUCGCUAGGGACGAAGCGUUUUUGUGACGGUACCUGGAGAAGAAGCACCGGCUAACUACGUG